GACGAACGCUGGCGGCGUGCUUAACACAUGCAAGUCGAACGGAAAGGCCCUGCUUUUGUGGGGUGCUCGAGUGGCGAACGGGUGAGUAACACGCGAGUAACCUGCCCUUGAUUUUGGGAUAACUUCAGGAAACUGGGGCUAAUACCGGAUAGGAGCUCCUGCUGCAUGGUGGGGGUUGGAAAGUUUCGGCGGUUGGGGAUGGACUCGCGGCUUAUCAGCUUGUUGGUGGGGUAGUGGCUUACCAAGGCUUUGACGGGUAGCCGGCCUGAGAGGGUGACCGGCCACAUUGGGACUGAGAUACGGCCCAGACUCCUACGGGAGGCAGCAGUGGGGAAUAUUGCACAAUGGGCGGAAGCCUGAUGCAGCAACGCCGCGUGCGGGAUGACGGCCUUCGGGUUGUAAACCGCUUUCGCCUGUGACGAAGCGUGAGUGACGGUAAUGGGUAAAGAAGCACCGGCUAACUACGUG
This 468-nucleotide ribosomal RNA is filed under the name uncultured bacterium. Its description in RNAcentral is "partial 16S ribosomal RNA". It matches the Rfam family "Bacterial small subunit ribosomal RNA", at positions 28 to 507 of the family's 1533-position model. The record is from RNAcentral.